GACGAACGCUGGCGGCGUGCUUAACACAUGCAAGUCGAGCGAUGAAGCUACUUCGGUAGUGAAUUAGCGGCGAACGGGUGAGGAACACGUGAGGAAUCUGCCUUCAACACUGGGAUAACUCCGGGAAACCGGGGCUAAUACCGGAUACGAGCCCUGACCGCAUGGUCGGGGCUGGAAAGUUUUUCGGUUGAAGAUGACCUCGCGGCCUAUCAGCUUGUUGGUGAGGUAAUGGCUCACCAAGGCGACGACGGGUAGCCGGCCUGAGAGGGCGACCGGCCACACUGGGACUGAGACACGGCCCAGACUCCUACGGGAGGCAGCAGUGGGGAAUACUGGGCAAUGGAGGAAACUCUGACCCAGCGACGCCGCGUGCGGGAAGAAGGCCUUCGGGUUGUAAACCGCUUUCAGUAGGGAAGAAGCGAAAGUGACGGUACCUACAGAAGAAGCACCGGCUAACUAUGUGCCAGCCGCCGCGGUAA
RNAcentral lists this ribosomal RNA (479 nucleotides) under uncultured bacterium. Its description in RNAcentral is "partial 16S ribosomal RNA". It matches the Rfam family "Bacterial small subunit ribosomal RNA", at positions 28 to 523 of the family's 1533-position model. The record is from RNAcentral.